RNAcentral lists this transfer RNA (74 nucleotides) under Cordylochernes scorpioides. Its description in RNAcentral is "tRNA-Thr". The stretch from base 6 to 69 matches the Rfam family "tRNA", at positions 5 to 66 of the family's 71-position model. From Rfam's summary of the family: Transfer RNA (tRNA) molecules are approximately 80 nucleotides in length. Their secondary structure includes four short double-helical elements and three loops (D, anti-codon, and T loops). Lineage: Eukaryota; Metazoa; Arthropoda; Arachnida; Pseudoscorpiones; Chernetidae. The record is from RNAcentral.
GUCCAGGGUAGCCUAGUGGUCAUGGCAUCUGCCCGGUAAGCGGAAGGUCGUGGGUUCGAUUCCCAUCCCAUCCC